AUAAGAAAGUGUUGUAUAUAUUAUUAAAUUAUUUAAGUCAUCAUUUAUAUUGUCAAUAUCUUACAGCAGACAUAUUUUUUCCAUUUCUCACAUGUGAUUCAUUUUAUUUGCCAACUCAUAUAUUAUCUUAACUUUUUUUAUAAAAAACAUUAAACUUUACGUUUCUCUUUGUUCCAUUCGUACGAAUAUACAGAAAUAAAAGAAGAAAAAAAAAAUAAAUAAUAGUACUAAAUAAAUGAAUUUAUGAGCACGAAAAAUUGAUGAUCAAUUGAACGGUUCCCGCUACCAGGUACCAGAAAAGAACCUUCGGCUGAUGUUGUCAUAGAUGUCACAUUGAUUGAAAUAACUUUUAAUAUGAAGGAUAAAUCUGGUGGAACAUAAACUUAAAUAUACGGUAGAAAAAUUCAACGGCUUACGGAACAAGGAUGAGGUGGAAUUACCGUAGAAUGAGUCACACAUGACUUGGAAUGCAACCCGUCGUACCUAAAGUACCUGCGAUACGGAAGAAAUCCAAUCAAUACCGAAAAUAAAAAAAUAUUGAUAUCAAUACCCAGAAAAAAUUGGGUUUGAAAUUAUAUCCCGGAACCUGGGUGUCAAACUGGGAAUUUUGAAAUUACAAAAUAAAUUUUAUAAAAUGUGUCAUAAAUUUUUCAAGUUUCAGUUACGGUUUUCAAGUUCAAAUAUUUAUUUUUUAUGAUACUGAAAUUAGCCGACGUCUAAUAAUUUUUGGAUUUUUUUUUAGACGGUAAAUUAUAAAAAAAAAAAAUUUGAAAAAAUUGCACCUGUAGUUUUUAUGAUACUGAAGU
Long non-coding RNA from Microplitis mediator, 806 nucleotides. RefSeq lists it as uncharacterized. The transcript has 3 exons. NCBI's taxonomy places the organism in Eukaryota, Metazoa, Arthropoda, Insecta, Hymenoptera, Braconidae. The record is from RefSeq and is a predicted model, not a curated record.